This 471-nucleotide ribosomal RNA is filed under the name uncultured bacterium. RNAcentral's name for it is "bacterial SSU rRNA". It matches the Rfam family "Bacterial small subunit ribosomal RNA", at positions 791 to 1256 of the family's 1533-position model. The record is from RNAcentral.
UAGUCCACGCCCUAAACGAUGUCAACUAGUUGUUGGAAGAGGAGACUCUUUUAGUAACGAAGCUAACGCGUGAAGUUGACCGCCUGGGGAGUACGGUCGCAAGAUUAAAACUCAAAGGAAUUGACGGGGACCCGCACAAGCGGUGGAUGAUGUGGAUUAAUUCGAUGCAACGCGAAAAACCUUACCUACCCUUGACAUGUGCAGAACUUUAUAGAGAUAUAUUGGUGCCCGAAAGGGAGCUGCAACACAGGUGCUGCAUGGCUGUCGUCAGCUCGUGUCGUGAGAUGUUGGGUUAAGUCCCGCAACGAGCGCAACCCUUGCCACUAGUUGCUACAUUUAGUUGGGCACUCUAGUGGGACUGCCGGUGACAAACCGGAGGAAGGUGGGGAUGACGUCAAGUCCUCAUGGGCCCUUAUGGGGUAGGGGCUUCACACGUCAUACAAUGGGCGCGUACAGAGGGGUUGCAAACCC